UCUGGCCCGAUAUGCUAUUACCCCAGAAGCGUAUCGGAGGCGCUUCAGGGAAUUGAAAAAGGCGGAUAAAGAUUUGCAUGCAGAAUGGGCUUGCCGAUUACAACGGGCAGCCCUCGGAUGGGUGCAAGCGAACCAGGCACGGUCCAUGGAGGACCUAUUACAAAUGCUGCUACUAGAACAGUUUUAUGACGGGAUACCCGCAGACCUGCAGGAGUGGGUGAGAGACCGUAACCCCACUUCUAUUACAGACGCAGCUAAAAAGAUUACAUGGAUGCGCGAAGGCAACAAAAGCCAGUAGUAAUCAAAGC
Pelobates cultripes (western spadefoot toad) is the source of this 308-nucleotide non-coding RNA. Lineage: Eukaryota; Metazoa; Chordata; Amphibia; Anura; Pelobatidae. The record is from the annotation of a GenBank genome assembly.